AGAGUUUGAUCAUGGCUCAGGACGAACGCUGGCGGCGUGCCUAACACAUGCAAGUCGAGCGGAGUGCAUCGACGGAAUCCUUCGGGAGGAAGAUGAUGUACUUAGCGGCGGAUGGGUGAGUAACGCGUGGGCAACCUGCCUCGAAGACCGGGAUAACAGCCUGAAAGGGAUGCUAAUACCGGAUGUGGUCAAGUAUCUGCAUGGGUAUUUGAUUAAAGGGGAAACCCGUUUCGAGAUGGGCCCGCGUCCUAUCAGCUAGUUGGUGAGGUAAAAGCUCACCAAGGCUACGACGGGUAGCCGGCCUGAGAGGGUGACCGGCCACACUGGAACUGAGACACGGUCCAGACUCCUACGGGGGGCAGCAGUGGGGAAUCUUCCACAAUGGGCGAAAGCCUGAUGGAGCGACGCCGCGUGAGCGAAGAAGGCCUUCGGGUUGUAAAGCUCUGUCUGGAGGGACGAAGGAAGUGACGGUACCUCCGGAGGAAGCCACGGCUAACUACGUGCCAGCAGCCGCGGUAAUUC
RNAcentral lists this ribosomal RNA (522 nucleotides) under uncultured Bacillota bacterium. RNAcentral describes it as "bacterial SSU rRNA". It matches the Rfam family "Bacterial small subunit ribosomal RNA", at positions 8 to 526 of the family's 1533-position model. Lineage: Bacteria; Bacillati; Bacillota. The record is from RNAcentral.